Molecule: ribosomal RNA, 482 nt
Filed under: uncultured bacterium
Lineage: Bacteria
Description: bacterial SSU rRNA
Rfam family: Bacterial small subunit ribosomal RNA
Source: RNAcentral
AUUGAACGCUGGCGGCAUGCCUUACACAUGCAAGUCGAACGGUAACAGGUCUUCGGAUGCUGACGAGUGGCGAACGGGUGAGUAAUACAUCGGAACGUGCCCGAUCGUGGGGGAUAACGGAGCGAAAGCUUUGCUAAUACCGCAUACGAUCUACGGAUGAAAGCAGGGGACCGCAAGGCCUUGCGCGGACGGAGCGGCCGAUGGCAGAUUAGGUAGUUGGUGGGAUAAAAGCUUACCAAGCCGACGAUCUGUAGCUGGUCUGAGAGGACGACCAGCCACACUGGGACUGAGACACGGCCCAGACUCCUACGGGAGGCAGCAGUGGGGAAUUUUGGACAAUGGGCGAAAGCCUGAUCCAGCCAUGCCGCGUGCAGGAUGAAGGCCUUCGGGUUGUAAACUGCUUUUGUACGGAACGAAAAGACUCCUUCUAAUAAAGGGAGUCCAUGACGGUACCGUAAGAAUAAGCACCGGCUAACUACGUG